GAAACAGAAAGCACCUUUGGAGUUGCAACCAACAACUCUGGAGGUGAAACAGUUUGACAAAAGGAUCAAAAGAUCGCUCAUUUGAGAAUCCUCAUUUUGUCCUGAGGACAACCCUGGGAUAUAGGUGAGGCUGGCUGGCCCAAAGUCAUCAGAGAACUUCCAAGGAUAAGAGAGGACUUGGUCCUUGCUCUCCCCAAUCCCAGACCAACAUCUUUACCAAGACAACACAUUGGAUCCUGAGAUUCUAGAACCCAAAGAGAAAGGAAGCUAUGGUGGAAACUGUCCUAGAAGCUUGGACAGUUCUCUUGGUGAUCUUCGCUGCAGUGCUAAUCAUGACCAUCCUGAUGUUUCUCCUUCCUGCUGUUGUACUGCUCUUGAGAAUGAGGUCUUUGUCACAAAUCUCUUUGGAUGGAAUUGUCUAGCCUGCCUCUUUACAAAGUGCUGGGUGAUUUUAGACACCUUGGACUGCUUGAGAAUUAAGACCAGGGAGAGGAAGCAAUAUCCAAACCUGCCAUUUAUAAAACAAAACUUGAUACCCUGGACUUACCUUACUCUUUGUUUGCAUUAGAUACCUGAGAUCAUUUAAUGAGAGGCUA
Molecule: long non-coding RNA, 596 nt
Organism: Candoia aspera
Lineage: Eukaryota; Metazoa; Chordata; Lepidosauria; Squamata; Candoiidae
Exons: 3
Source: RefSeq, a predicted model, not a curated record